UAGGGAAUCUUCCGCAAUGGGCGAAAGCCUGACGGAGCAACGCCGCGUGAGUGAUGAAGGUCUUCGGAUCGUAAAACUCUGUUAUUAGGGAAGAACAAAUGUGUAAGUAACUAUGCACGUCUUGACGGUACCUAAUCAGAAAGCCACGGCUAACUACGUGCCAGCAGCCGCGGUAAUACGUAGGUGGCAAGCGUUAUCCGGAAUUAUUGGGCGUAAAGCGCGCGUAGGCGGUUUUUUAAGUCUGAUGUGAAAGCCCACGGCUCAACCGUGGAGGGUCAUUGGAAACUGGAAAACUUGAGUGCAGAAGAGGAAAGUGGAAUUCCAUGUGUAGCGGUGAAAUGCGCAGAGAUAUGGAGGAACCCCAGUGGAGAAGGCGACUUUCUGGUCUGUAACUGACGCUGAUGUGCGAAAGCGUGGGGAUCAAACAGG
Molecule: ribosomal RNA, 429 nt
Filed under: Actinomycetes bacterium
Lineage: Bacteria; Bacillati; Actinomycetota; Actinomycetes
Description: Actinobacteria bacterium partial 16S ribosomal RNA
Rfam family: Bacterial small subunit ribosomal RNA
Source: RNAcentral